UACGAAGGGGGCUAGCGUUGCUCGGAAUUACUGGGCGUAAAGCGCACGUAGGCGGCUUGUUAAGUCAGGGGUGAAAUCCUGGAGCUCAACUCCAGAACUGCCUUUGAUACUGGCGAGCUUGAGUUCGGGAGAGGUGAGUGGAACUGCGAGUGUAGAGGUGAAAUUCGUAGAUAUUCGCAAGAACACCAGUGGCGAAGGCGGCUCACUGGCCCGAUACUGACGCUGAGGAGCGAAAGCGUGGGGAGCGAACAGG
RNAcentral lists this ribosomal RNA (253 nucleotides) under uncultured bacterium. RNAcentral describes it as "partial 16S ribosomal RNA". It matches the Rfam family "Bacterial small subunit ribosomal RNA", at positions 524 to 776 of the family's 1533-position model. The record is from RNAcentral.